AACGAACGCUGGCGGCAUGCCUAACACAUGCAAGUCGAACGAAGCCUUCGGGCUUAGUGGCGCACGGGUGCGUAACGCGUGGGAAUCUGCCCUCAGGUACGGAAUAACUCAGGGAAACUUGAGCUAAUACCGUAUAAUGACUUCGGUCCAAAGAUUUAUCGCCUGGGGAUGAGCCCGCGUCGGAUUAGCUAGUUGGUGAGGUAAAAGCUCACCAAGGCGACGAUCCGUAGCUGGUCUGAGAGGAUGAUCAGCCACACUGGGACUGAGACACGGCCCAGACUCCUACGGGAGGCAGCAGUGGGGAAUAUUGGACAAUGGGCGCAAGCCUGAUCCAGCAAUGCCGCGUGAGUGAUGAAGGCCUUAGGGUUGUAAAGCUCUUUUACCCGGGAAGAUAAUGACUGUACCGGGAGAAUAAGCCCCGGCUAACUCCGUGCCAGCAGCCGCGGUAAUACGGAGGGGGCUAGCGUUGUUCGGAAUUACUGGGCGUAAAGCGCACGU
This 498-nucleotide ribosomal RNA is filed under the name uncultured bacterium. Its description in RNAcentral is "bacterial SSU rRNA". It matches the Rfam family "Bacterial small subunit ribosomal RNA", at positions 28 to 572 of the family's 1533-position model. The record is from RNAcentral.